Molecule: ribosomal RNA, 1323 nt
Filed under: Escherichia coli
Lineage: Bacteria; Pseudomonadati; Pseudomonadota; Gammaproteobacteria; Enterobacterales; Enterobacteriaceae
Description: partial 23S ribosomal RNA
Rfam family: Bacterial large subunit ribosomal RNA
Source: RNAcentral
AAAUCGUACCCCAAACCGACACAGGUGGUCAGGUAGAGAAUACCAAGGCGCUUGAGAGAACUCGGGUGAAGGAACUAGGCAAAAUGGUGCCGUAACUUCGGGAGAAGGCACGCUGAUAUGUAGGUGAAGCGACUUGCUCGUGGAGCUGAAAUCAGUCGAAGAUACCAGCUGGCUGCAACUGUUUAUUAAAAACACAGCACUGUGCAAACACGAAAGUGGACGUAUACGGUGUGACGCCUGCCCGGUGCCGGAAGGUUAAUUGAUGGGGUUAGCGGUAACGCGAAGCUCUUGAUCGAAGCCCCGGUAAACGGCGGCCGUAACUAUAACGGUCCUAAGGUAGCGAAAUUCCUUGUCGGGUAAGUUCCGACCUGCACGAAUGGCGUAAUGAUGGCCAGGCUGUCUCCACCCGAGACUCAGUGAAAUUGAACUCGCUGUGAAGAUGCAGUGUACCCGCGGCAAGACGGAAAGACCCCGUGAACCUUUACUAUAGCUUGACACUGAACAUUGAGCCUUGAUGUGUAGGAUAGGUGGGAGGCUUUGAAGUGUGGACGCCAGUCUGCAUGGAGCCGACCUUGAAAUACCACCCUUUAAUGUUUGAUGUUCUAACGUGGGCCCCUUACCGGGGUUGCGGACAGUGUCUGGUGGGUAGUUUGACUGGGGCGGUCUCCUCCUAAAGAGUAACGGAGGAGCACGAAGGUUGGCUAAUCCUGGUCGGACAUCAGGAGGUUAGUGCAAUGGCAUAAGCCAGCUUGACUGCGAGCGUGACGGCGCGAGCAGGUGCGAAAGCAGGUCAUAGUGAUCCGGUGGUUCUGAAUGGAAGGGCCAUCGCUCAACGGAUAAAAGGUACUCCGGGGAUAACAGGCUGAUACCGCCCAAGAGUUCAUAUCGACGGCGGUGUUUGGCACCUCGAUGUCGGCUCAUCACAUCCUGGGGCUGAAGUAGGUCCCAAGGGUAUGGCUGUUCGCCAUUUAAAGUGGUACGCGAGCUGGGUUUAGAACGUCGUGAGACAGUUCGGUCCCUAUCUGCCGUGGGCGCUGGAGAACUGAGGGGGGCUGCUCCUAGUACGAGAGGACCGGAGUGGACGCAUCACUGGUGUUCGGGUUGUCAUGCCAAUGGCACUGCCCGGUAGCUAAAUGCGGAAGAGAUAAGUGCUGAAAGCAUCUAAGCACGAAACUUGCCCCGAGAUGAGUUCUCCCUGAGACUUAGAGUCUCCUGAAGGAACGUUGAAGACGACGACGUUGAUAGGCCGGGUGUGUAAGCGCAGCGAUGCGUUGAGCUAACCGGUACUAAUGAACCGUGAGGCUUAACCUUACAACGCCGAAG